CCUACGGGGGGCAGCCGUGGGGUAUCUUGCACACUUUGUGAAGCCCUGAUGCAGCAACGCCGCGUGAGUGAUGACGGCCUUCGGGUUGUAAAGCUCUGUCUUCAGGGACGAUAAUGACGGUACCUGAGGAGGAAGCCACGGCUAACUACGUGCCAGCAGCCGCGGUAAUACGUAGGUGGCGAGCGUUGUCCGGAUUUACUGUGCGUAAAGGGAGCGUAGGCGGACUUUUAAGUGAGAUGUGAAAUACUCGGGCUCAACUUGAGUGCUGCAUUUCAAACUGGAAGUCUAGAGUGCAGGAGAGGAGA
Molecule: ribosomal RNA, 305 nt
Filed under: uncultured bacterium
Lineage: Bacteria
Description: bacterial SSU rRNA
Rfam family: Bacterial small subunit ribosomal RNA
Source: RNAcentral